GGCCUUCCGCAACAGGGUCCAUGAUGCCUGAUUGCUUCCUCUUCGGCUGGAUCGGGUCCAACCACACAAUUAUUGUACUACUGUCUUGAGUGGCAAAUAUUUACUGAGAUGGGAUAAUAGUGCAGGUUGAUGUGUGUAGCACGUGUUAACAAAAUCUCAAUUAUCUGCAUGGUAUAUAUAUCUCUAAUCAUUGUCUUUUCCAGAAUUAAGAGAAGGUAUGAGAAAGAUAAUACUAAUAUUCCCUAUACAUUUGACAUUUA
This is a long non-coding RNA of Triticum aestivum (bread wheat), 260 nucleotides long. RefSeq lists it as uncharacterized. The record is from RefSeq and is a predicted model, not a curated record. The transcript is spliced from 3 exons. Lineage: Eukaryota; Viridiplantae; Streptophyta; Magnoliopsida; Poales; Poaceae.